CCUACGGGGGGCUGCAGUGGGGAAUAUUGCGCAAUGGGCGAAAGCCUGACGCAGCGACGCCGCGUGAGGGAUGAAGGUCUUCGGAUCGUAAACCUCUGUCAGCAGGGAAGCACGGUCACUGUGCUAAUCAGCAGUGAAUUGACGGUACCUGCAAAGGAAGCACCGGCUAACUCCGUGCCAGCAGCCGCGGAUAUACGGAGGGUGCGAGCGUUAAUCGGAAUGAAUGGGCGUAAAGCGCUCGUGGGCGGUAUGGCAAGUCAAGUGUGAAAUCCCCGGGCUCAACGUGGGAACUGCCUUUGAAACUGGCAAACUGGAGUGUUGGAGAGGAUAGUGGAAUUCCAGGUGUAGGAGUGAAAUCCGUAGAUAUCUGGAGGAACAUCAGUGGCGAAGGCGACUUUCUGGCACAUAACUGACGCUGAGGAGCGAAAGCGUGGGUAGCAAACAGGAUUAGAUACCCCAGUAGUC
This 465-nucleotide ribosomal RNA is filed under the name uncultured bacterium. RNAcentral's name for it is "partial 16S ribosomal RNA". It matches the Rfam family "Bacterial small subunit ribosomal RNA", at positions 338 to 795 of the family's 1533-position model. The record is from RNAcentral.